GGACAAUAGACCUUAUUACAGAUGGUUGUGAGCCACCAUGUGGUUGCUGAGAAUUGAACUCAGGACCUUUGGAAGAGCAGGCAAUGCUCUUAACCACUGAGCCAUCUCUCCAGCCCCCUAGGAUUUUUUUUUUUUAAUCUCUAUUUCUUAUGUGCUCAGGACUGUCAAAUUUUUGCAGAGGAUGAUGUCUCUAAAGAUGGCUCAGGCCUCCUUUCUCUUCCCAGCACCCACCACAGAGAAUGUCUAUCUUCCAAGUCAUCUAAGUAAAGAUGGUGGACUCAUGAAACAAAGCCCCUUGUUUGGACAAGUGCCCUGGCUGCCCCUUCCAAACAAGCUGCCGUUUCUUCAGCUCUUCGUUUAGGAAAAGCCUAGAACCAGUAAAGUAGGUCAGUGGGUUGUUUUGUGACGCGGAACAGUUUACACAAAACUCUAAUUCUCUCCUAAAAGCCAUAGAUAGCUCCUGCACUCACUUUUCUCAUUGACACCUAGGACGGAAAUUCCAAGUACCGCUAAGUAUGUCCCGGCAGAUUAACAAAGCCAGGGACUGUGAGAUUCCCUCGGACUACAUUGAAGAGCUAAGUGGUCAGGCUCCCUAAAAGAUGGCUCCUGGCCUGCUGAUCCCCCUCAGGGUGGAGGAGCUUGUCCUGUCUGGCCCUGUCAGAAACAUCCAGUUAACGAGCUGCAAUGUGACCCUUUGACAUAACCAACCUCCCGGUGGGAAGUCUACUGUAAAUGCUUUGUUCUCCUGCCCACACUCAGUGCUGCCCCAUUGGAAGCAAGAAGUCUGGCUUGACUUGGCUUUCCACUAAACAUUUAAAUUAAAACAGCAACUGACGACAUCAGGACAGGCUGAGCUCCCGGUGUUUAGAUUUCCAACCACUGCUAUAGCGUUUCCAGAAAUUUCCACAGGAUGCUACUUAAUAGUGAUAACAAUGGGUUACAUACAGGAUUAACAGGGGGGAAACCCCAAUUAAAUCAUCCAGACAGCUGAUCUUCCUGCAAAGGGCGGGAUCUCCAGAUUGGCUCCCCGACACCUUGCGCUUCGGGCACAGGGCCAAGAGUCAGUCACACAGUGACUCCGUUGUCUUCACCUCCCCGUGUUAGUUGGCCGGACUGGUGCCCCACUUAAGGCCUUCAAUUGGGGACUUCCAACAGGGCUGCUCUUUGCCUCGGAGAUAACCAACGGCUGGAACUCUAUCUGGUGGCAGGCAAUUAGCUCACGUAAAUAGUGCCAGCGCGAAACUCAAGGUCAGGUUACCCCCGGAGAACGCCGUGGGACGAAAGCCAACCUGGGAAAAGCGGAGCCCGGUUCACCUCUGCUGCACGCUGCAUUGUGUAACCGCUGGCUCAGGGCACACAUUGUUUAGGGCUUGUUUACGCCCCUUACGAAAUUUCCUCAAUAGCCUAGCUGAAAGCCGGAGUUUCUCGCCUAGAGAUGACGGGCUUUCUUAGCAUGAUGUCCUUCCUACGUGCUGAUUACAGCUGAAACAGAUUUUCGAGGUGGGUUCCUGAGAUCCUGGGAUGAGAAGCUAGAACUUUCUGGAGCAGUGGCCAUAUUCCCAGUUCAUUUGAGGCCUUGUUGGGAGGAAUCCCUAAACCAUGGUCUAUACACACUUUUUUUUUUUUUCUUUUUUACGACCUCUACUUUGAACUCAUAUGUUUGGACAACCAAUCAGGGCACCUGGUCCUGUCUCCAUCUUUGGGAUUGAGAGGUAAGCCUGGAGAGAGAAAGCUCUAGAAAGAGAGAGAUCACAGACUGCUUACUGAGUCCCAUUCAACCCUGUAAGGGCGAGACUUACUCUGUAGAGUCCUUGCUGAGUGGCUGACUUCUCUGCAGGGUAGCAACGGUUGAACAUUUCAUGGAGGUCAGGGAAAGCGCCAGGACACUGGGGAAAGAGCCAGCAUAGCAUAUGAAAAUGGGGAAAGGUUUAGUAGAAAGAAAAAAAAAAAAAAGAUCUAUAAGUUCAAGUCUUUCAGUAGGCGAGGAAGACUCCACAGUAACUAAGGAAUAAAACAAGAAUAAAAGAUACUGUCUCUGUAGCUUUGGAGCUUGUCCUGGAACUAGCUCUUGUAGACCAGGCUGGCCUCGAACUCACAGAUAUCCUUCUGCCUCUGCAUCCCGAGGGCUGGGAUUAAAGGCGUGCGCCACCACCGCCCGGCUCCAAGAUACUGAUUUUACAUAAACUACACCCCUCCUCCCAGGCCACUCUGAUAUCUCAAUCUAUCACGAAUGCUGUACAAAUAUCUGUGGAUUAGAUCUAGGACCGCAAGAGCGUGGGAGGAAGUGCUGUAAGGCCACGCCCCAGGAGUCAAGGCAACACAGGAGGAAAGACCUGGGGAACAGCUGGGAUCAAAAGCUCAGAAAACGAAGUUCCUCUAAGGCACUGUGCUAUCUUCUGCUGUUAAGAGUGAGAAUUUCUGGGCCGGAAGCAGAGAUCGUCAGAACAGGCAAGUCAGACUAGAACUUGCCCUCCUCUGUGAGUAGAUCCUUUGAAGCAGACGGUUGGCGCUUGAGUUUUUGGCUGUGACUGGAAGACGUCGGCUACUGGAGAGGAGGCAGGGCAGGCAUGGGAGUAGCUUGUUUUCAACACGAAGCUGGGAGACUGGCGGCCUCCGAGCGUCGCCGUGGUAAACAGAGUGGACAGACCUGGUUGGAUUUCUGAGAUAGUCCUCACAAGACACUUAUUACUGUCACCACAUGAGAGACGAGGCCCGAGGGACGUGUUCUGAGUGUGACAGCUGCCAGGACAUUCCCGGCUGGAGUGGCACUCUCUUCUCCCAGCCCCAGGAUGCUCUCCCUUUGCCUGUGGUCACCAUCUCCCGUGAUGCACUUCCAGUGCCCAGCUAGAGCAUUAGACGACAGCUCCCUCCACUCAGAUGGCAAACAUUAUCAGCUCCUCUAAGGCCUCACCUGAGGAGAGGUUGUGCGCUAGCUUCCAGGGGUGUGUGAGGGCUUGAAACAGUCGCCUUGCGUCAGUUUUGAAUCCUGCGUGGUGCUAAGUUCGAAUCCUGCACGGUGCUAAGUUCAGCCUGGCCUUUCUUCCUUGGAUUGGCAGCGAUCCUGUUCCUGCCCGUUUUCUAGCGGACACCAGCGAGUGGAAAUCACAACCAAAAUGAAGAGACUUAGCGUCUAAUUCAAGACUGCCAAUCAUUUCUUCAGCCAAGGGAAGCAGCUAGGUUCGUGAGUCUUAGAACUAACGUUCAACAGGCCCGCACGUCGAGCUCGGCCACGCGAGGUUUCCAAGUUCAACACCUCCAUCCAUCCGGGCCACGGGGAUGCCGCUCUUGAACAGAUAUUUAACCUGCUGGUGCUUUCCAGAGGAACGAAGUGUGCAAAACGCCAGCUCUUUGCGUGUGCAAUUCUGCAUCACGAGGGUUCCAGCAUCCGUGGGGUAAAAGUUUCUUUCCAAAUCAAUUUUGGAUACCAGCUGGUAUCAAAGAAAGUCAGCUAUUGUACAUGAUUUUUUUUUCCUUUCGUUUUAAACUUCAGAUUUUUGUUUUUUAUUUUUGUGAAACUGCAUUGUCUGGACUGAUCAUAGAACUCUAAGGUUCAAUCUUCUGGACUCGGUCGGUGUCUUCGGGACCUGGUGGGAUGACCGGCCUGCACUUCUGUGUGCAGCUGCUUACAUUUAAUUUAGUGAUUUAAAAAAUAAAUAAAUAUAUUUUCCA
Long non-coding RNA from Alexandromys fortis (reed vole), 3669 nucleotides. RefSeq lists it as uncharacterized. Lineage: Eukaryota; Metazoa; Chordata; Mammalia; Rodentia; Cricetidae. The transcript has 2 exons. The record is from RefSeq and is a predicted model, not a curated record.